Molecule: ribosomal RNA, 207 nt
Filed under: uncultured bacterium
Lineage: Bacteria
Description: partial 16S ribosomal RNA
Rfam family: Bacterial small subunit ribosomal RNA
Source: RNAcentral
UGCGUAGGCGGUAUGGUAAGUCAGAUGUGAAAUCCCAGGGCUCAACUCUGGAACUGCAUCCGAUACUGCCGUACUUGAGGACCGGAGAGGAGACUGGAAUUCUCGGUGUAGCAGUGAAAUGCGUAGAGAUCGAGAGGAACACUCGUGGCGAAAGCGAGUCUCUGGACGGAACCUGACGCUGAGGCACGAAGGCCAGGGUAGCGAAAG